UACGUAGGGUGCGAGCGUUAAUCGGAAUUACUGGGCGUAGAGCGUGCGCAGGCGGUCUGUUAAGACAGAUGUGAAAUCCCCGGGCUUAACCUGGGAACUGCAUUUGUGACUGGCAGGCUAGAGUAUGGCAGAGGGGGGUAGAAUUCCACGUGUAGCAGUGAAAUGCGUAGAGAUGUGGAGGAAUACCGAUGGCGAAGGCAGCCCCCUGGGCCAAUACUGACGCUCAUGCACGAAAGCGUGGGGAGCAAACAGG
RNAcentral lists this ribosomal RNA (253 nucleotides) under uncultured bacterium. Its description in RNAcentral is "partial 16S ribosomal RNA". It matches the Rfam family "Bacterial small subunit ribosomal RNA", at positions 524 to 776 of the family's 1533-position model. The record is from RNAcentral.